RNAcentral lists this ribosomal RNA (253 nucleotides) under uncultured bacterium. Its description in RNAcentral is "partial 16S ribosomal RNA". It matches the Rfam family "Bacterial small subunit ribosomal RNA", at positions 524 to 776 of the family's 1533-position model. The record is from RNAcentral.
UACGUAGGGACCAAGCGUUGUUCGGAUUUACUGGGCGUAAAGGGCGCGUAGGCGGCGUGGUAAGUCAAUUGUGAAAUCUCCGAGCUUAACUCGGAACGGUCAAUUGAUACUGCUGUGCUAGAGUACAGAAGGGGCAAUCGGAAUUCUUGGUGUAGCGGUGAAAUGCGUAGAUAUCAAGAGGAACACCUGAGGUGAAGACGGGUUGCUGGGCUGAUACUGACGCUGAGGCGCGAAAGCUAGGGUAGCAAACGGG